GCCAACGUAGCUCAGUGGUAGAGCAGCUGUUUCGUAAACAGCAGGCCGUGAGUUCGACUCUCACCGUUGGCU
Molecule: transfer RNA, 72 nt
Filed under: Candidatus Levybacteria bacterium CG_4_10_14_0_8_um_filter_35_23
Lineage: Bacteria; Candidatus Levyibacteriota
Also listed under: 3 other names
Description: tRNA-Thr
Rfam family: tRNA
About the family: Transfer RNA (tRNA) molecules are approximately 80 nucleotides in length. Their secondary structure includes four short double-helical elements and three loops (D, anti-codon, and T loops).
Source: RNAcentral